GGACUACUCGGGUAUCUAAUCCCGUUCGCUCCCCUGGCUUUCGCGCCUCAGCGUCAGUAGAGGUCCAGCAGACCGCUUUCGCCACCGGCGUUCCUUCCGAUAUCAACGCAUUUCACCGCUCCACCGGAAGUUCCGUCUGCCCCUGCCUCCCUCGAGCGUGUCAGUAUCGGGGGCCCUUAUUCGGUUAAGCCGAAUGCUUUCACCCCCGACUUGACGCGCCGCCUACGCGCCCUUUAAGCCCAGUGAUUCCGAACAACGUUCGCACGGUUCGUCUUACCGCGGCGGCUGGCAC
RNAcentral lists this ribosomal RNA (292 nucleotides) under uncultured Planctomycetota bacterium. RNAcentral's name for it is "uncultured planctomycete partial 16S ribosomal RNA". The record is from RNAcentral. Lineage: Bacteria; Pseudomonadati; Planctomycetota.